AGCAGCCGCGGUAAUUCCAGCUCCAAUAGCGUAUAUUAAAGUUGUUGCAGUUAAAAAGCUCGUAGUUGAAUUUCGGGAUCAAUAUAUUGGUCAUGCUUAGGUAUGUACUGGUAUUAUUGAUUUCUCCCUUCUGAAGAACCAUAAUGUCAUUAAUUUGAUGUCAUGGGGAAUCAGGACUGUUACUUUGAAAAAAUUGAGUGUUUAAAGCAGGCUUUCGCUUGAAUACAUUAGCAUGGAAUAAUGAAAUAGGACGUUUGAUUCUAUUUUGUUGGUUUCUAGGAUCGACGUAAUGAUUAAUAGGGAUAGUUGGGGCAUUAGUAUUCAAUUGUCAGAGGUGAAAUUCUUGGAUUUAUUGAAGACUAAACUACUGCGAAAGCAUUUGCCAAGGAUGUUUUCAUUAAUCAAGAACGAAAGUUAGGGAUCGAAGACGAUCAGAUACCGUCGUAGUCUUAACCAUAAACUAUGCCGACUAGGGAUCGGAUGAUGUUAAUUUUUAUGUACUC
RNAcentral lists this ribosomal RNA (503 nucleotides) under uncultured Glomeraceae. RNAcentral describes it as "SSU rRNA". It matches the Rfam family "Eukaryotic small subunit ribosomal RNA", at positions 569 to 1077 of the family's 1831-position model. Lineage: Eukaryota; Fungi; Glomeromycota; Glomeromycetes; Glomerales; Glomeraceae. The record is from RNAcentral.